UGACCGCUGGCGGCGUGCCUAAUACAUGCAAGUCGAGCGAACAGACGAGGAGCUUGCUCCUCUGACGUUAGCGGCGGACGGGUGAGUAACACGUGGAUAACCUACCUAUAAGACUGGGAUAACUUCGGGAAACCGGAGCUAAUACCGGAUAAUAUAUUGAACCGCAUGGUUCAAUAGUGAAAGACGGUUUUGCUGUCACUUAUAGAUGGAUCCGCGCCGCAUUAGCUAGUUGGUAAGGUAACGGCUUACCAAGGCAACGAUGCGUAGCCGACCUGAGAGGGUGAUCGGCCACACUGGAACUGAGACACGGUCCAGACUCCUACGGGAGGCAGCAGUAGGGAAUCUUCCGCAAUGGGCGAAAGCUUGACGGAGCAACGCCGCGUGAGUGAUGAAGGUCUUCGGAUCGUAAAACUCUGUUAUUAGGGAAGAACAAAUGUGUAAGUAACUAUGCACGUCUUGACGGUACCUAAUCAGAAAGCCACGGCUAACUACGUG
This 495-nucleotide ribosomal RNA is filed under the name uncultured bacterium. RNAcentral describes it as "partial 16S ribosomal RNA". It matches the Rfam family "Bacterial small subunit ribosomal RNA", at positions 30 to 507 of the family's 1533-position model. The record is from RNAcentral.